AGAGUUUGAUCCUGGCUCAGAAUCAACGCUGGCGGCGCGCUUAACACAUGCAAGUCGAGCGAGAAAGGGGAGCAAUCCCUGAGUAAAGCGGCGUACGGGUGAGUAACACGUGGAUAAUCUACCUUUUAGUGGGGAAUAGCUCCGGGAAACUGGAAUUAAUACCGCAUAAGCCCGUAAGGGGAAAGCAGCAAUGCGCUGAAAGAGGAGUCCGCGGCCGAUUAGCUAGUUGGUGGGGUAAUGGCCCACCAAGGCGAUGAUCGGUAGCCGGCCUGAGAGGGCACACGGCCACACUGGCACUGAAACACGGGCCAGACUCCUACGGGAGGCAGCAGUGGGGAAUCUUGCACAAUGGAGGAAACUCUGAUGCAGCGACGCCGCGUGAGCGAUGAA
This 390-nucleotide ribosomal RNA is filed under the name uncultured bacterium. RNAcentral's name for it is "bacterial SSU rRNA". It matches the Rfam family "Bacterial small subunit ribosomal RNA", at positions 8 to 412 of the family's 1533-position model. The record is from RNAcentral.